GGCGGACGGGUGAGUAAUGUAUAGUUAAUCUGCCCUUUAGAGGGGGAUAACAGUUGGAAACGACUGCUAAUACCCCAUACUCCUUUUACAUUAAUUGUAAUUGGGAAAUGUUUUUUCGCUAAAGGAUGAGACUAUAUGGUAUCAGGUAGUUGGUGGGGUAAGAGCCUACCAAGCCAAUGACGCCUAGCUGGUCUGAGAGGAUGAUCAGCCACACUGGAACUGAGACGCGGUCCAG
This 235-nucleotide ribosomal RNA is filed under the name uncultured bacterium. RNAcentral describes it as "partial 16S ribosomal RNA". It matches the Rfam family "Bacterial small subunit ribosomal RNA", at positions 97 to 334 of the family's 1533-position model. The record is from RNAcentral.